This 4820-nucleotide long non-coding RNA is filed under the name Homo sapiens (human). RNAcentral's name for it is "long non-coding RNA NONHSAT121498.2". Lineage: Eukaryota; Metazoa; Chordata; Mammalia; Primates; Hominidae. The record is from RNAcentral.
CUCCAGAACAAAACUCGUACAUUGCUGGUCCCAAAAGGGAGGUGGCCAAGUGGGGCAGGGCUGUGGUGGAAGCCCUGAGUCCCCUUUCUGACCUUGCAAGGCCUUGAUUUUCCUUUCUGUCAUUUCCCCCUGACGGUGUCACUUCUCUGCCUUUCCUUCCCGCCGUGCAAGUGUGUCGGCCCCGUGACCCCAGAGUCGUGUGUCCCCUAGACUUCCUAGGACGUAUCUAUUGUACACACCUAUAAAUACCUGUGUUUUAUGUUGAUAGAGAUAUAUACUGUAAAUAGCAUAUAUACUUGAGCAAUAUAUAUGUUAAUAUAUACUGUGUGCGCAGUCCGUGGACACAGCCCCCCGCUGUGUGUGCACACGUGUAUGGGCGUGAUGGCCUCCACCCCGCACCGUCUGCCAUACACGCGGGCACAUUUGAGCCACCAUAUAUUUUUAAUUCAAGUAUAUAGGCAAUACGAUUAUUACAGAAGCCGAUGGGUUCCCUCAGACCUGACUUGAGAGAACAAAGCCAGCAGCUCAAAGAGCCUGUGACAUGGGACGUGGGAAGGGUGCUGAGAGCCCGCUGUGGCGUGGGUCAUGCCUUCUGCACCCCACUUUCCCCAGGCAAGAUCCCUGGGCGCCCUUAUUUGGGGGGAUGUUGAUCCCGAGGGAGGAGUAUUUGGAAUUUCUUGCUUUUAACCAGAAUGCCCCCUCUCCCCUGCCCUCGCCAGCAGCCUCACCCUGAAGACCUGGGCCUGCUGAAUGGGCCACACGCUGCCUGUGUCCUGCCUCCGUGGGUGGCACUUUUUACGCAGGCAGCUUCUCUGUUUUUUUUGUUUUUUGUAACCUGCAAGCUUAGAAAUCUCAGGUUGUGCUCCUGGGGCUGCUCCUGGGGACUGGCCUCGUGUCAUGGAGAAAAGCAUGUGUGUCGGGGCGCGCUGGGGCCAGGGUAUGGCUCUCCGCCCUGGCUGGCUCUGCAGGGGUGGUCCCUGUUCAAGCCCGCUCCGUGGGAGCUGCCCCCUGGGGACCCUGCUCCUCGGUCACAGGGGGCCCCUUUAGUUUUCCCAUCCCCAUCCUGCUCGUGUAAAGCUUGGUUUAUCUUCUCGGCGUUCUGUGUGUAGCGUAGUCUUGGUUUGGUCUCCACAGCUCUUCGGGGUGGGGUGUGAGUGUGGUUUUUCCCAGGCAGGGGCCGUCUGCCCUUGUCCCCCAGCUAUCUCCUGGUCUGCUGGGUGGGAGGGUCUCUCCAGGCCCCAGACCCCACUUGGAGGGGCAUGUGUUUCUCAGAGGGGCUCCAUCCGCAGUUGCAUGGAACUCCUUACCUGUUUGCCGUCCAUCCCCCGGAGGUAAUCAGAGGAGUGGGCCUGUUGUCUUGGCGCUGGCGGAUGGGGCAGGUGCCUGGCGGGGGAGGAAGAGGGCUCUCUAUGAUGUGGAAUUUUUUUUUUUUUUUUUUUGAGACGGAGUCUUGCUCUGUCGCCCAGGCUGGAGUGCUGUGGCAUGAUCUCAGCUCACUGCAGCAACCUCCACUUCCUGGGUUCAAGCGAGUCUCCUACAUUGGCCUCCCAAGUAGGUGAGAUUACAGGCACUCACCACCACACGCGGCUAAUUUUUGUAUUUUUGGUAGAGACGGGGUUUCACCAUGUUGGCCACGCUGGUCUUGAACUCCUGACCUCAAGUGAUCCACCCACCUUGGCCUCCCGAAGUGCUGGGAUUACAGGCAUGAGCCACCGUGCCCGGCCUCAUGGAAUUUCUAGGGGUGAGCAGGUGACCCUGGGGCUGCCACUUGAGCUCCUGGAGUGUGUGUCUUGGCCCCUGUGUGGUUCUCCAUUAAGAAAAGCUCAGAUAGUCUCAACCCCACCCUCUCCCCUUGCUGCACUCAGAGUACCAGUGGGAGCUGAAGGAUGGGGAGGAACAGAGCAGUGACCACCCCUCCCUGCCACUGAUAAGUUCUGCCUCGUCGUGGGGCUCCCCUGGUUCCCAAGACACCCCUUCCUCCCUCAGCCCGUCGUCCUAACCCAGCAAAGAUCUGGGCAUUGCUGACUCUGCACCUCCUUCCUCCAUGGGCAUCUCCAGGACCGCCCUCCUUCAAGGGGCACUGCCCACACCACUGUCCUCAGCCCGAGGCAUGCAUCUGAGCUGGAGAGGCUUGCAGGCCUGACCCUGGUAGCUUCCCCUCCCCAAGAUUCAGAGGCGGGGACCCAAAGCCUCACUCCAAACCACUGGCAUUCUCACCUCCUCUCACCUCCAGGCACCAGGCUGCUGGUGGGAAAGGAAGGAGCUGGGGGAUCAGAGGCUUCCAGUGUGGCCUCCGGAAGCAGCAGCGUAGCCAGGGUGACAUUUGUUCAGCAGGAGGAGGCUUGGUCUGGAGGGGCUUGCCCCUCUGAGGUGACAGAGGAUGCCCUGGAGGUCAGGAGAGAAGACUGGGAAGACAGGAAGGGCCAGGCCCCUGUUAAAGCCCAGGGCACUAUUUGGUGAUCUUCAAAGGUGAACACAGGCCACCUCCCACUGGCCCCCUCCUCCUGGCCACAUUUUCCAGGGAUACCCUGGGGAGUCCUAAGGCCACCCUGGGCCCCUUUCUGAGCCUAGAGAUCUGGAUGUGGUGACAACCAGGGCUUUUCCCAGCCCCAGCUAAGAGAGGGGGCUUUAGGGCAAGAGCACCUCAGCCCUGCAAUGGGGGGAUCUUUUUUUUUUUUUUUUUUUGAGACAGGCUGGAGUGCAGUGGUGCGAUCUCGGUUCGCUGCAACCUCUGCUUCCCAGGUUCAAGUGAUUCUCCUGCCUCAGCCUCCCAAGUAGCUGGGAUUACAGGCACCCACCACCACGCUCGGCUAAUUUUUGUAUUUUUAGUAGAGACAGGGUUUCACUAUGUUGGCCAGGCUGUUCUUGAACUCCUGACCUCAGGUGAUCCGCCCACCUUGGCCUCCCAAAGUGCUGGGAUUACAGGCAUGAGAUACCCCGCCUGGCCAAUGGGAUUUUUGACGCCACUUCCUGAGUGAAGCGCUUUGCAUGGGGAUGGGAAGAAGCACCCCCAACCUUCUAGUCCGCUCCGAGCAGGGCCUGGAGCAUUGGAGACAUUGGUUAGUGUAAUAGGCAGAGCCUGAGUGAGGCCGGGGGGCUUCUCCAACAGAGAAAAGACAUUGGCUUUGGGUACCAUGCUGAGGGAGGGGGUUAGGCCUGGUGGGGGCCCAUUCAAAGGAGGCCGGGCUCGGUGGCUUAGGCCUGUCAUCCCAGCACUUUGGGAGACCAAGGUGGGAGGAUAGCUUGAGGCCAAGAUAGCAAGACCAACCUGGUCAACAUAGCAAGACCCUGCCUCUACAAGAAAAUAACGAAAGAGGCCCCAGGGAAGGAAGCCAGCCAGGAGCAGCCUGGAGCAGAGGCAGGAGCCUGAGGCCUGAGCCAUGGCAUCCAGGGACAGCCUGGUGGCCGAGAGAGCUUGUGGCUGUCACUAUAAGGGAAGAGGAGCUAUGGAAAUUGGAAGUGCAGGGUGGCCUGUGUGCUAGGAGUGGGGGUGCAGGCCUAGGUGUGUUUAUGCACACGUUUGUGCAUGUACCUGUGAGCGUGGAUGUGUUCCUAUGCAUUAGAGUGUGUGCGUGCACGUGUGCAGAGCCCACACCUGAGAUAUGGGACUGGCUCUUGGAGUAUUUUGAGUUCUCAGUAGCAGUCUUGUUGUCAGGCCUUGAGUGCAGAAAUGAUUAGGUGAGUGAGGGCAGGACUCGAAUGCAGACCCUGGCUCCAGGGGAGAGGGUGGGGCGUCUCUGGUAGGACGGCCUCACCCCACUUGUCAGAACUACUCUGGAGGGGGGCAAAGGUGUCAGGAACAGUUUGAGCAGUUCUGGCUCAGGGUCAUUCAUGAGGUUGCUGUUGUCUGAAAUCUUAGCUAAGGAUUGGAGGAUGCACUUCUAAGUGAGGCCUGGCUGUAGGCAGGAGGCCUCAGUCCUUCCCCAGGUGGGCCAACCCACAGGGCUGCUUGAGUGUCUUCACAAUAUGGCGCUCGGCUUCCCCCCAGAGCAAGAGAUUCAAGGGCCCAGGGUAAAAGCCAACGUGUUAUUUUUAUCCCUAGCCUCAGAAUUCACACGCCGUUGCCUCCACCAUGCUCUGGUUUGAUACAGCCCAGCUCUGAUUGGAAGGGGCUGGGGCUGCCCGUGCUGACUCUUCAAAGGCAUCCCAUCCUGCAGAUGGUGUUCACAGGGAGAGUUUGUGGGGGCCGGCACUCCCUCAUCUACUGGGGCUCAUUCUGGAAGAAGGUCCAGAAGAAUUGGAGACCCCUGCCCCUCACCCAAACUUUGGAGGUGGCAGGGUGAACAGCAGGCCAAGUUCAGGUCCCAAGACAGGCCAAGGCCAGUGCGGUUUCCCUUCCACUGCCUCAGUUUACCUGUAUUCAGAAGACAGUCUAGGAAGAGUUGAGCAGAGUUCCCUCUAAAAGAGUAGGGAGCUGAUAACAGUCCCAAGCCCUCCUCUUUCUCUAUGCCAAAAUCAUUUCCGUUAUCCUGAGAUGGGGGUGAGUGGAUGGAUGGUGUACUGAGGGGCCUCUGCCCUGCCCAGAGCCCCCACCAUCGUAGUGGGGGCAGGGGACUUCCUGCCCACAACCCCCUCCAACCCUCACCUGGCGUGCCCGGGUCACCAGCAGCAGCAGCGGCGUUCCAUCGCUCCCAAGAUCUGGGUGAAGGGGAGAACCUGCCAUCUUAUCCCUACCCCCCCGGGGCCCUCAAGCUUAUUUUCUUGUUGAAGAAACACAAAACCCUCGAGAUUCAUGUACUGUAUGUUGGAGAAAAAAAAUUACCUAAUGUUCCCCCAAAAAAGACAGUAUAUUUUGUACUUUGUAAAGUGUUAAUUAAAAU